This 28-nucleotide non-coding RNA is filed under the name Rattus norvegicus (Norway rat). Lineage: Eukaryota; Metazoa; Chordata; Mammalia; Rodentia; Muridae. The record is from RNAcentral.
UGUGGAAACUGGUGUUUUCAGAGGAUGA